RNAcentral lists this small RNA (272 nucleotides) under Sus scrofa (pig). RNAcentral's name for it is "7SK RNA (ENSSSCG00070009417.1)". The stretch from base 1 to 240 matches the Rfam family "7SK RNA", at positions 70 to 331 of the family's 331-position model. Rfam says of the family: 7SK was discovered as an abundant small nuclear RNA in the mid-70s but a possible function has only recently been suggested. Two independent studies have found that 7SK RNA binds the CDK9/cyclin T complex (known as elongation factor P-TEFb). P-TEFb activates transcription by phosphorylating the C-terminal domain of RNA polymerase II. Lineage: Eukaryota; Metazoa; Chordata; Mammalia; Artiodactyla; Suidae. The record is from RNAcentral.
GGUUGCUAGGCAGGUGUCCCCUUCCUUCCCUACCAUUCCACAUGCAUUCCUAUGGAAGCUGUGCGCUCUCUCGAAGAGGACAACCUUCACCAAUGCAGGAGGACCAUUCUUCCAUCAAGUGUAUAUGAGUAGCUGUGCUCCCCGGCUAGAACCUCCAAACAAGCUCUCAUCUGAGUUUUUAUAUAAUUUUAAAAUGAAAGGCAUAAGGAUGAUAAAGCAGGAGAGAGCUAUAACGUGCAUGGGCCUGAGUGUAAGACAGAGUGGCAGGAUGA